UCAUUACGUGAAUACAUAGCGUAAUGAAGCGAACCGGGGGAACUGAAACAUCUAAGUACCCCGAGGAAAAGAAAUCAACCGAGAUUCCCCCAGUAGCGGCGAGCGAACGGGGAGCAGCCCAGAGUCUGAAUCAGCUUGUGUGUUAGUGGAACGGUCUGGAAAGUCCGACGGUACAGGGUGAUAGUCCCGUACACCAAAAUGCACAGGUUGUGAACUCGAAGAGUAGGGCGGGACACGUGGUAUCCUGUCUGAAUAUGGGGGGACCAUCCUCCAAGGCUAAAUACUCCUGACUGACCGAUAGUGAACCAGUACCGUGAGGGAAAGGCGAAAAGAACCCCGGCGAGGGGAGUGAAAAAGAACCUGAAACCGUGU
Molecule: ribosomal RNA, 372 nt
Filed under: Citrobacter freundii
Lineage: Bacteria; Pseudomonadati; Pseudomonadota; Gammaproteobacteria; Enterobacterales; Enterobacteriaceae
Description: partial 23S ribosomal RNA
Rfam family: Bacterial large subunit ribosomal RNA
Source: RNAcentral